AUUGAACGCUGGCGGCAUGCCUUACACAUGCAAGUCGAACGGUAACAGGUCUUCGGAUGCUGACGAGUGGCGAACGGGUGAGUAAUACAUCGGAACGUGCCCGAUCGUGGGGGAUAACGCAGCGAAAGCUGUGCUAAUACCGCAUACGAUCUACGGAUGAAAGCAGGGGAUUCGCAAGGACCUUGCGCUCAUGGAGCGGCCGAUGGCAGAUUAGGUAGUUGGUGGGAUAAAAGCUUACCAAGCCGACGAUCUGUAGCUGGUCUGAGAGGACGACCAGCCACACUGGGACUGAGACACGGCCCAGACUCCUACGGGAGGCAGCAGUGGGGAAUUUUGGACAAUGGGGGAAACCCUGAUCCAGCCAUGCCGCGUGCAGGAUGAAGGCCUUCGGUUGUAACUGCUUUGUACGGUAACGAAAGGUACUUUACUUAAUAAAGAAGGACCCACUGACGGUACCGGUAACGAAUAAGCACCGGCCUAACUACGUACGCCGACGCGAGCCGAC
Molecule: ribosomal RNA, 505 nt
Filed under: uncultured bacterium
Lineage: Bacteria
Description: bacterial SSU rRNA
Rfam family: Bacterial small subunit ribosomal RNA
Source: RNAcentral